GGCGGGCGGACGGGGGGAGGAACAACGUAAAGCUUUCCACUUCCUGCAUGCAGAGGGAAAGCUUCUGAGAACCAAGCCCAUCAAUCGGUUCCUCUUUCAGUCAAAUCCGCGAAUUACUCCUCCACAGUGUUUAAUUCUUCCUGAUCCGACGGCGCUUCUCUCGCUCGCGAGAAGAUGAAGACGAUACCGGCGUUUGUUUACUGUACGGGCCUCGGAACGCCGUCGCCGGAAACAGCCAUCCUUAUCUGGCCUCAGACUCAUCUCCGGUGGCCGGGGGAACGCCGACACUCCUCUCCCUCCCUCCGGCCUGCGGCAGCGGGCAGGGACAAGUCAUGGCCGGCCUCGUAGACCGAGAAGGAAGGAAAUAAACAAAGCCCCGAUAAGCAGGGUCUGGCAGGAGGAGAAAAGACGGGAAGGGGACCUGAGGAAGGAGGGGUCAUCGUCUCUCCCGACUCCGGCGAACAGCCACAGCUGUGCGGCAAACCCACCCCCCGCCGUUAACGGCGAUCCUCACCGCCCACCGCCUUGGAGGGUGGGCCUUCCUCUUCUCGCCGGCCCCGACAGAGGCAUUAAC
Molecule: long non-coding RNA, 574 nt
Filed under: Spirodela polyrhiza (greater duckweed)
Lineage: Eukaryota; Viridiplantae; Streptophyta; Magnoliopsida; Alismatales; Araceae
Description: long non-coding RNA (SPOL_LNC002589)
Source: RNAcentral